AAUCAACGCUGGCGGCGUGCCUAACACAUGCAAGUCCACGAGAAAGCGGUAGCAAUACUGCCGGUAAAGUGGCGAACGGGUGAGUAACACGUAGGUAACUUGCCCUUGGGACUGGAAUAACCUCGAGAAAUCGGGGCUAAUACCGGAUAAUGCAGCGGACCCGCAUGGGUAUGUUGUUAAAGUGGUCUUGGCUUGCCAAGUUCACACCUAAGGAUGGGCCUGCGUCCCAUUAGCUAGNGGUGAGGUAACGGCUCACCAAGGCGACGAUGGGUAGCCGGCCUGAGAGGGUNCCCGGCCACACUGGGACUGAGAUACGGCCCAGACUCCUACGGGAGCAGCAGUGAGGAAUAUUGGUCAAUGGCCGAAAGGCUG
Molecule: ribosomal RNA, 372 nt
Filed under: uncultured bacterium
Lineage: Bacteria
Description: bacterial SSU rRNA
Rfam family: Bacterial small subunit ribosomal RNA
Source: RNAcentral